UUUUUUAUUUUGAUUGACAUUAUUUGACAUCAGUGUUGUGAGAUUUAUCUGAUUUUAUUUAUAAUUUAGGCUUUAAGAGCCUUACAGCUAAAUAUUGUUUUACUGAUUGCAGGUUUUUCUGUUGUUGUUUUUAUUAUUGAAUAUUUACUGUGAUGUGCCUGCAAAACUUUUACAUGUUUUUGUCUAAAUUAGGUGAUUUUAUUAGAUCACAAAUGCCCCUUUUCCCUCGGCCCGGCUCGGCUCAGCUUGGCCCGGCUCGGCUCAGCUCAGCUUGGCCCGGCUCGGCUCAGCUCAGCUUGGCCCGGCCCGGCUCAGCUCAGCUUGGCCCGGCUCGGCUCAGCUCAGCUUGGCCCGGCCCGGCCCGGCUCGGCUCAGCUCAGCUUGGGUUAGCAGAACUGGACCUGGUUCUGUCAGAUGUUUCGGGUCUCAAAGCGUUCCUCGGUUCUCUCUGACCGGUGGAGCCUUUCAGAGAUGGAACACCUUCCAGAACCAGAACCAGAGGUGGUCCAAUUGUGUUUGGAUCACCCGGACCUCGAUCUGACUCUUCAAACCGUGGAUCUGUUUAAAGGGUCUACUUGGGUCAGAACCAGAACCUUGACCUUAAAUUCAAAGAGUCCAGCAAACAGACUGGAUCCCAGUUAGAACCGGAGCAGCUGGCGACUAUGAAUUCAAUAAGUAGUUAAGCGCAUGAAUCUCUUUUUUCCGACACCAUUGAAGGCAACACAAUGUAAGCUGCUGAGUAGCGGGAAGUGCGAGGCAGCAGCAUCCAUAUGGAUAUUAGUGACUCAUCCUGCGCCACUGCUGUUCAUUGGUCAGGAAAAUACCACAAUCACGCAAAGAAUCUGAAAAAUAGACUCAAUAUUUAGCGGCUAAUUCAACCGUAUGACAGACAUAGAUAACAAGGUUCAAGGGUUUCACAUUUAAUGGGUGAGGAAAAAGUUUUGAUUUAUUGAAAAAGUGAGCAGUGAGCUAGUUAUGCUAGGCUAACUUGCUAGCUGCUAUUGACUCUGAUAACCGUAACAUGCUGCGCAGUUCGCUGUGUUUUGGUUCCGUUAGCACUAAAACAGGACAAGCUGCUCACCAAGUCAUCAGUAGAGCAGGAGUUUAAAUCAGCUAAUCUGUGUUCAGGCCAAAAUAGAUUAAUAAUCACAAUAUAGACAUCAAGCCUGACAGCAUAAUGUAACAGACUGGAUGUUCUGUUUGGUGGUUCUGAUACUUCUUUGUGUGGGAAACGUUAGUUUCUGGUAUUGAUUCCCCUGAUAGGUUUGAACGUAAUCUCUGCUUUAUCUGCUGGUUGAGCUGUUGUCUGUCGGUUGCCAUGGCAACAGGUCCGCGUAGCGUCAUGCCGACACAGAG
This is a long non-coding RNA of Xiphophorus hellerii (green swordtail), 1356 nucleotides long. RefSeq lists it as uncharacterized. The transcript is spliced from 2 exons. NCBI's taxonomy places the organism in Eukaryota, Metazoa, Chordata, Actinopteri, Cyprinodontiformes, Poeciliidae. The record is from RefSeq and is a predicted model, not a curated record.